AGAGUUUGAUCAUGGCUCAGAGCGAACGCUGGCGGCAGGCUUAACACAUGCAAGUCGAGCGGGCGUAGCAAUACGUCAGCGGCAGACGGGUGAGUAACGCGUGGGAACGUACCUUUUGGUUCGGAACAACACAGGGAAACUUGUGCUAAUACCGGAUAAGCCCUUACGGGGAAAGAUUUAUCGCCGAAAGAUCGGCCCGCGUCUGAUUAGCUAGUUGGUGAGGUAAUGGCUCACCAAGGCGACGAUCAGUAGCUGGUCUGAGAGGAUGAUCAGCCACAUUGGGACUGAGACACGGCCCAAACUCCUACGGGAGGCAGCAGUGGGGAAUAUUGGACAAUGGGGGCAACCCUGAUCCAGCCAUGCCGCGUGAGUGAUGAAGGCCCUAGGGUUGUAAAGCUCUUUUGUGCGGGAAGAUAAUGACGGUACCGCAAGAAUAAGCCCCGGCUAACUUCGUGCCAGCAGCCGCGGUAAUACGAAGGGGGCUAGCGUUGCUCGGAAUUACUGGGCGUAAAGUGCACGUAGGCGGAUUGUUAAGUCGGGGGUGAAAUCCUGGAGCUCAACUCCAGAACUGCCUUCGAUACUGGCGAUCUCGAGUUCGGGAGAGGUGAGUGGAACUGCGAGUGUAGAGGUGAAAUUCGUAGAUAUUCGCAAGAACACCAGUGGCGAAGGCGGCUCACUGGCCCGAUACUGACGCUGAGGUGUGAAAGCGUGGGGAGCAAACAGGAUUAGAUACCCUAGUAGUCC
RNAcentral lists this ribosomal RNA (744 nucleotides) under uncultured bacterium. RNAcentral describes it as "bacterial SSU rRNA". It matches the Rfam family "Bacterial small subunit ribosomal RNA", at positions 8 to 796 of the family's 1533-position model. The record is from RNAcentral.